RNAcentral lists this ribosomal RNA (471 nucleotides) under uncultured bacterium. RNAcentral's name for it is "bacterial SSU rRNA". It matches the Rfam family "Bacterial small subunit ribosomal RNA", at positions 29 to 506 of the family's 1533-position model. The record is from RNAcentral.
ACGAACGCUGGCGGCGUGCCUAACACAUGCAAGUCACGGGGGUCCGUAGCAAUACGGGCAACCGGCGAACGGGUGCGUAACACGUGAGCAAUCUGCCGAUUUCUGGGGGAUAGCCGGUCCAACGACCGGGUAAUACCGCAUACGCUCAUUGGGGGACAUCCCCCGAUGAGGAAACCUCCGGGGGAAAUCGAGGAGCUCGCGGCCUAUCAGCUAGUUGGUGCGGUCACGGCGCACCAAGGCGACGACGGGUAGCUGGUCUGAGAGGAUGGCCAGCCACAUUGGGACUGCGACACGGCCCAGACUCCUACGGGAGGCAGCAGUGGGGAAUAUUGCGCAAUGGACGAAAGUCUGACGCAGCGACGCCGCGUGUGGGAUGAAGCUUUUCGGAGUGUAAACCACUGUUGCUCGGGACGAACAUCCCCUUUCGAGGGGACUGACGGUACCGAGUGAGGAAGCACCGGCUAACUCUGU